AGUCUUUAUUGCAAGCUCGAGCCUGGACUCACAACCAUUUCCUACGCAGCGGUCCCGAGAGCUGGGUUAUCUGUCCUUUGAGGACUCACCCACCGCAGGAAAGAAGUAAUCCAGACUUUGGGGAUGGUACCAGAAGACCUCAGAAAUGGCUAUUUCCCAAAUCAACACGUGAAUUCCCAACUCCAACAGAGAGCAUGUGCAAUGCCACCUUUGAGUCACCUCUACAAAAGCCCCCUCACAGCCUCUGGGACAGGAGUGCCCCAUGGUUCACCUUUGCUAGCAAAGCAAUCAACUUUCUUUCUCCCUUUUCUCAAAAUCGUGUUCUCAUUAUUGGACCAGCACCCAGGACAAGGACCGAGAUUUCCACCACAGGAUGUUGUCCCAGUGUUGGAGACUCUAGGACUUGAAGAAAUAAACGACAGAAAGAUGGCAACUCACAUCACAUAAAGAAUACUGAUGGGAAGACAGAGCCGGAGGAAGAACCCGGCGGGGCGCCUUGUUUCUGGUCUGGCACGGGAGGGUCACUCCAUCAAAACAGACAUUGUUUUUGUAAGAAAAAGAAAGAAAGAAACUUCUGAAACUCAAAGACAAAGAAAAAAGCCUGAAACAGAAAAAAUACUCAAGCACUGUAGGACAACUACAAAAGGUGCAUCAUAUAUUUCGGAAAACAGAAGAAGAAAGCGGGAAGAGGACAGAAGAAAUAUUCGAAACAAUGAUGAGAGUCUCUCAAUAUAAUAUCAGACACCAAACAACGGAUUCCGGAAGCUCAGAGGACACCAAGUAAGAGAGAUGUCCCCAAAAUCUACACCUAGGCCUCUUAGAUCCACACUCACAAAUUCAAAGUUAAAGAGAAAAAUCCCAAAAGAAGCCAGAGGAAGGAAACACCAUGUGUAGCCAGAAGAAGAAUUAAAUCAGAAUUCUUAGAAACCCGAGCAGUGAAAAGAGAGCAGAGUGAAAUAUUUAAAGUGUAAAGAGAAAAAAAAUAAAUAAAUAAACCCCAUCAACCUAGAAUUCUGUAUUUUGUGAAUGGAUCCUUCUGAUGAAAUGAGAUGAAACGAGAACUUACACAGACAAAAAAAAAUUGAGUCCUGGGGCAGGAGAGCUACUUUGCACGAAGUGUUUAAAACAAAACAACAACAACAACAACAAAACUUGCAGGGGAAGGAGCUUCAUGCAGGCCAGAGGCUGAGACGAUAUAAACUAGGUAAGAGCAUUAGAGAAGGAGCUACGGCAAAAUCAAAACUUUUUUUUAUUGUAUAUCGUCUGGGGAUCAAACCUGGAGCUUCACACAUGCUAAGCACACAUCUACCAUCUUGGGCCCUAUUUUUCAUAUUCUGACCACAGCCACAUAUUGAGUGAUUGCAGUCAGUGGAUAAGUGAGAUGAAAGGCCCAGGGCAGCAGGGAGGGAGUCAGGCUACUCGGUUAUUGUGUUCUCACGGCCCAGGAGGUGGCACCGUAUUUAUUUGAGUGGACUCUAACUUGUCAAAAUUUGUCAUAGACAGUGAACUCAGUGAUUGAAGGAAAUUCAUAGCACGGACUGCAUUUAUUAGAAAAGAAGGAAGAUCUAAAAUCAGUAGUCUAAGCUUUCACCUUAGAAAACUAGAAAGAGCAAAUUAAAUCCAAAGCGAGCAGAAGAAAACAAAUAAUGAAAAAUAGAGCAGAAAUCAAUGACAUGAAAAACAGGGAAGCAAGAGGGAAAAUCCAUAAAACCUGAAGCUGCUUCUUGAAGACGUCAUUAUAACUGAUAAGUCUCUAGCCCAAGCCAGGCGUGGUGGAGCACACCUGAAUCAACUCAGGAGACUGAGGCAGGAGGAUGGCAAGUUCAAAGCCAG
Marmota flaviventris (yellow-bellied marmot) is the source of this 1833-nucleotide non-coding RNA. Lineage: Eukaryota; Metazoa; Chordata; Mammalia; Rodentia; Sciuridae. The record is from RefSeq and is a predicted model, not a curated record.